CACGUAGGGGGCAAGCGUUGUCCGGAUUUAUUGGGCGUAAAGAGCUCGUAGGCGGUUUGUUGCGUCGGCUGUGAAAUCCCGAGGCUCAACCUCGGGUCUGCAGUCGAUACGAGCAAACUAGAGUGUUGCAGGGGAGACUGGAAUUCCUGGUGUAGCGGUGAAAUGCGCAGAUAUCAGGAGGAACACCGGUGGCGAAGGCGGGUCUCUGGGCCAUAACUGACGCUGAGGAGCGAAAGCGUGGGGAGCGAACAGG
Molecule: ribosomal RNA, 253 nt
Filed under: uncultured bacterium
Lineage: Bacteria
Description: partial 16S ribosomal RNA
Rfam family: Bacterial small subunit ribosomal RNA
Source: RNAcentral